RNAcentral lists this long non-coding RNA (808 nucleotides) under Struthio camelus australis. RNAcentral describes it as "lncRNA (ENSSCUG00000005640.1)". The record is from RNAcentral. Lineage: Eukaryota; Metazoa; Chordata; Aves; Struthioniformes; Struthionidae.
ACUUGUUAGAUGGAACUUGUGUCUCAGGAUAACAUCUUAGUCUUUUACUGAUAUGUCUAACGUCACUUUUCUGUUUUGUCCUAGACAAGCUGACAUCAUCUCCCAAGAUUUCUUUCUAAACUUGUCUGUAAGAGUUGCAAAGACUCAGGGCUGAAGAUUGCUAGAUACAGGCGAGUACUGAAAGCAUCUUACAACCGCAUAUUUUCCAAAGAGCUCAAAACAAGACCAAAGGAAGCAAAACUCUGCUUAGAAUUCCCAGAAGCAGCCGCAUCAUCUUGGCACGGGAGAAGCAUCUUUGAACUUUCCGAUGGACAACAUUGCAGAGAUCCCCUGCUGCCCCUCUGAAUCCAAAGCUGACAUGAGUAAGCAAACCCAGAAGGCUGAAGUUUCGAAACUGCUCAGCUGGAGUCAGCUCUCCAUGUUGCUACCAGCUAAUGAGUAAUCCCUUCACAACUGAGCUUGCUAACGAGUGUCUGCCAGGAAACACAGAAAGAGCAUGUUGGAGCAAGUAUUCAUGAUGUGGCUUCAUACAAUGCUUGGAUUUGAUCUUCCAGAAGAGGAUUCAGCAGGGUUUGCUUCACUUUUAAUUAUCCCCAGGAUGAAAGAGCACCGAGAUGUGUUUAAAUAGUUCCGUUCUGACAGAGACUGAUUUUACUCAAUAGUGUGCCUAUAUAUAUAAAUAUAUUUUACAAUGACUGUACUUUUUAUUCUGUCAAUACUUAGCCCCAGAACAAAGGACAAUGGCAGCCGUGUAUAUAAGCAUGUGUAUAAAAGCUCAUUCUGAUCAGAUCUAUACUGGGUAGAUCAA